GGGUUGUGAGGUUAAGCGACUAAGCGUACACGGUGGAUGCCCUGGCAGUCAGAGGCGAUGAAGGGCGUGCUAAUCUGCGAUAAGCGCCGGUAAGGUGAUAUGAACCGUUAUAACCGGCGAUACCCGAAUGGGGAAACCCAGUGUGAUUCGUCACACUAUCAUUAACUGAAUCCAUAGGUUAAUGAGGCGAACCGGGGGAACUGAAACAUCUAAGUACCCCGAGGAAAAGAAAUCAACCGAGAUUCCCCCAGUAGCGGCGAGCGAACGGGGAGGAGCCCAGAGCCUGAAUCAGCAUGUGUGUUAGUGGAAGCGUCUGGAAAGGCGCGCGAUACAGGGUGACAGCCCCGUACACAAAAGCGCAUGUGCUGUGAGCUCGAUGAGUAGGGCGGGACACGUGGUAUCCUGUCUGAAUAUGGGGGGACCAUCCUCCAAGGCUAAAUACUCCUGACUGACCGAUAGUGAACCAGUACCGUGAGGGAAAGGCGAAAAGAACCCCGGCGAGGGGAGUGAAAAAGAACCUGAAACCGUGUACGUACAAGCAGUGGGAGCACCCUUUGGGGUGUGACUGCGUACCUUUUGUAUAAUGGGUCAGCGACUUAUAUUCUGUAGCAAGGUUAACCGUAUAGGGGAGCCGAAGGGAAACCGAGUCUUAACCGGGCGUUAAGUUGCAGGGUAUAGACCCGAAACCCGGUGAUCUAGCCAUGGGCAGGUUGAAGGUUGGGUAACACUAACUGGAGGACCGAACCGACUAAUGUUGAAAAAUUAGCGGAUGACCUGUGGCUGGGGGUGAAAGGCCAAUCAAACCGGGAGAUAGCUGGUUCUCCCCGAAAGCUAUUUAGGUAGCGCCUCGUGAAUUCAUCUCCGGGGGUAGAGCACUGUUUCGGCUAGGGGGCCAUCCCGGCUUACCAACCCGAUGCAAACUGCGAAUACCGGAGAAUGUUAUCACGGGAGACACACGGCGGGUGCUAACGUCCGUCGUGAAGAGGGAAACAACCCAGACCGCCAGCUAAGGUCCCAAAGUCAUGGUUAAGUGGGAAACGAUGUGGGAAGGCCCAGACAGCCAGGAUGUUGGCUUAGAAGCAGCCAUCAUUUAAAGAAAGCGUAAUAGCUCACUGGUCGAGUCGGCCUGCGCGGAAGAUGUAACGGGGCUAAACCAUGCACCGAAGCUGCGGCAGCGAACGUAUCACUUAAAGCGAUUCAGCGGGUUACGAUUGACGGAGCGAAGCGACGUCAAAGCGUAUACAAAGUCGAGUCGGUUUAAGGAUACGUUCGUUGGGUAGGGGAGCGUUCUGUAAGCCUG
Molecule: ribosomal RNA, 1300 nt
Filed under: Salmonella enterica
Lineage: Bacteria; Pseudomonadati; Pseudomonadota; Gammaproteobacteria; Enterobacterales; Enterobacteriaceae
Description: partial 23S ribosomal RNA
Rfam family: Bacterial large subunit ribosomal RNA
Source: RNAcentral